ACAGCUGGCCUGAGUGAGCACAGCGGGCACUGAGGGGAACAAAGCGUGGGGGCCCUCCAGCAGCCCUUAUCAUCACCUGCCAGCCACCUGCCUCAGGCUGGGCAGGCUGCACCCUGGGCUUUCUGCUAUUGGCUUCCCAGAUCCCUGGAACUCCAGCUGGGGCCCUGGGCUGUGGUCUGACUUGAUCCAGAAUUUAAUGAGUAGAAGGAAUGGAAGAAGGCUCAUUCCCCCAGCCCUGGCUCUUUGAGAUCUGACCCAACUCCUGGCACGUUGGAGAUGUCCCAUAGACCAGUGUUGAAUGAAUGGGACUGUGUCUGGCUGGCCGUAGGAGGAGUGUUCAGUGGUGCGCCGUAUCCCAACCCGAGGCCACAAAAUGCUUCCAAUGGCAAAGGAAUAUGAGAAAAGUGCGUGGCCCUCCUGUCAGCUGCAUAAAGAGAGACUCCCCCAUCCAGUGUAUCCAGGCCAUUGC
Molecule: long non-coding RNA, 469 nt
Filed under: Homo sapiens (human)
Lineage: Eukaryota; Metazoa; Chordata; Mammalia; Primates; Hominidae
Description: non-protein coding lnc-LRRC2-1:1
Source: RNAcentral